UACGUAGGUGGCAAGCGUCGUCCGGAUUUACUGGGCGUAAAGAGCGCGCAGGCGGUCGUUCAAGUCGCGUGUGAAAGCCCCCGGCUCAACUGGGGAGGGUCACGCGAUACUGAUCGACUCGAAGGCAGGAGAGGGUAGUGGAAUUCCCGGUGUAGUGGUGAAAUGCGUAGAUAUCGGGAGGAACACCAGUGGCGAAGGCGACUACCUGGCCUGUUUCUUGACGCUGAGGCGCGAAAGCUAGGGGAGCAAACGGG
RNAcentral lists this ribosomal RNA (254 nucleotides) under uncultured bacterium. RNAcentral describes it as "partial 16S ribosomal RNA". It matches the Rfam family "Bacterial small subunit ribosomal RNA", at positions 524 to 776 of the family's 1533-position model. The record is from RNAcentral.